AGGUUGGUGCGAAAGUAAUUGUGGUUUUUGCCAUUGAAAGUAAUAGAAAAAACCACAAUUACUUUCACACCAACCUAAUA
This 80-nucleotide microRNA precursor is filed under the name Mandrillus leucophaeus (drill). RNAcentral's name for it is "miRNA (ENSMLEG00000010491.1)". The record is from RNAcentral. Lineage: Eukaryota; Metazoa; Chordata; Mammalia; Primates; Cercopithecidae.